UUUUCUCUCGUUUCCCCUGCAGCUGUCCUUCAGACUCUGGCUACCAGCUUCAGUGGUUUCUACAUCCUCAUUUAAGUUCUCCUCCUACAGCUAGCUGGUGUCCAGAUAGUUCAGCUGGCUGAGUGGGCGACUCAUAAACAGGGGCUAUAGUCCGACGCAGCGCUCAUAGGUUCGAAUCCAGCCAUUUACACAGCACCUGCUCAAGGUGGCCUGGUCGAGCCUUCCUCCUACUGUGGUCAACUGAGCGUCCUGCCGUUUCCUUUCAAAACAGGAGGAUGUGAUGCGAGGAUGUGAGUGCUGUGGUCAGGUCCCCGGUGAGCUCGCCUUGCACAGCAGCGGUGUGAGAGAUGGCUCCAUGACAAUGGGUUUCCUGGCAGGGUUUUUUCUUUUUUUCUUGCGUGGGAGGAAAUUGGCUGUUUAACGGCGGUUUAUAGGCUGCAGAGAGGUUAGAAAGUGCAACGACGGCCGGAGUGUGAUAAUAUGCUGGAAUAACUGUGUCAGCCUUGUCUGUGUUGGAGGUCUCCAUGCCAACCGCUGCACACUGGGUACAAUACAACUGUGCCUCCAAGGCUUGGGAGGGUAUUUUAAGAUCUUGUAACAUGUGCUCAUUUGAUCUUGUGGUAUUGUUAAUUUUUUAUUAUAACACCUUCUUGUAACUCUUUGCUGCGGCGUGUGGAAGGUGUUUUCACACUUGCCAGUAAAUCUCAUUUUUCACGGCGCACUGCCUCACCAGUGCUGUUGCACUACACGGUGAGGCAAGUAGAAGUUU
Long non-coding RNA from Amphiprion ocellaris (clown anemonefish), 769 nucleotides. The record is from Ensembl. NCBI's taxonomy places the organism in Eukaryota, Metazoa, Chordata, Actinopteri, Pomacentridae.